Molecule: RNA transcript, 702 nt
Organism: Odobenus rosmarus divergens (Pacific walrus)
Lineage: Eukaryota; Metazoa; Chordata; Mammalia; Carnivora; Odobenidae
Gene name: tropomyosin alpha-3 chain-like
Exons: 1
Source: RefSeq, a predicted model, not a curated record
AUGGGGGCAACUGCUAAACCCACUCUCUCAGUCAAUGUGAAGGAGCAGAGGAGGAGUUGGUGCCUCACUUGCUACGUUAGUGCAAAUGCCGAGGCUGAGGUGGCCUCCUUGAACCGUAGGAUCCAGCUGGUUGAAGAGGAGCUGGACCGCGCCCAGGAGCGCCUGGCCACUGCCCUGCAAAAGCUGGAGGAAGCGGAGAAAGCUGCAGAUGAGAGCGAGAGAGGUAUGAAGGUUAUUGAGAACUGAGCCUUAAAAGAUGAAGAAAAGAUGGAACUCCAGGAAAUCCAACUCAAAGAGGCCAAGCACAUUGCAGAAGAGGCAGAUCGGAAGUAUGAAGAGGUGGCUCAGAAGUUGGUGAUUAUUGAGGGGGACUUGGAACGCACAGAGGAACAAGCUGAGCUGGCAGAGUCCCGUUGCCGGGAGAUGGAUGAGCAGAUCAGACUGAUGGACCAGAACCUGAAGUGUCUGAGUGCUGCUGAAGAAAAGUACUCUCAAAAGGAAGACAAAUAUGAGGAAGAGAUAAAGAUUCUCACGGAUAAACUCAAGGAGGCAGAGACCCGUGCCGAGUUUGCUGAGAGAUCGGUAGCCAAGCUGGAGAAGACAAUUGAUGAUUUGGAAGAUAAGCUGAAAUGCACCAAAGAGGAGCACCUCUGUACACAAAGGAUGCUGGACCAGACUCUGCUUAACCUGAAUGAGAUGUAG